Molecule: unclassified non-coding RNA, 988 nt
Filed under: Hevea brasiliensis (rubber tree)
Lineage: Eukaryota; Viridiplantae; Streptophyta; Magnoliopsida; Malpighiales; Euphorbiaceae
Source: RNAcentral
ACAUCCUUAACCACCAAAAUCUUGGCUUUGGCCAGAUAAUGCAGUGACAAAUCCGUGACAGCAUCUCUCAAAAUACUCUUUUGAAUCAGCAAUACGUUGCAGCCAGACGCCUUAAUCUUCUUAAUCAUACCCAAAAUGUAAUUUCUCUCUUCUUUCAAAAUCCUAUCCAUCUGGGUAUAAUCAGAAACCACAAUGCUCUGCUCUAUAUCAGUCUUUGGAGGAGAAAUUUGGAAUUGAAUCACUGCAAUCUUCGCGUUCUCAACUCGUGUUGGUCCACCAGCUGCAUGGCUCACUUUCUUAUCAAAAACUAAGCCUUUAACCAUCUCCGUAUCAUCCACAGUCCCGCCUAGCUUCUUCACUAUCCUAACAUCCCUCAAGUCCACCAAAUCGGGCUUGGCAGGGUCCACUACAGAGAGAACUGCAUCUACCGCUAAUGGAGCUAGAAGCGUAGAAUACUGACUCACGACUUUACUAUUCAAAGAAGUGCUUGCAGAUUUAAUUAGGGAUUCCCCGUCCGAUAACUCCACAGGGACAGCCAUGGCAGUCAAUACAUCGAUAGCUUUAAUAGAUGCUUUAUGAAGAGAAUCGGAGAUUACCGUGGGGUGGAUUCCACUGGAAAGAAGCGAGAGACACUGCUUCAAAAGCGCGCCAGCAAUGACGACGACGGUGGUGGUGCCAUCACCAGCAGCGGCGUCCUGAGCCUUUGAGAGCUCGACAAGCAUUUUGGCGGCGGGCUGAAGGACCUCCAUUUUGUUGAGAAUUGUAGCGCCAUCGUUGGUGAUGAUUACUUCACCAUUGGCGGCGGAAAUCAUUUUGUCCAUACCUUUGGGUCCCAGACUGGUCCGGACUGCGUCCGCCACGGCUCGAGCGGCGACGAUGUUGGCAUGGCGGAUGUCCUCUUUGCGCUUAUUGUCGACAUAAGAAUCGGUUUUGGAGGAUCUGGGCCGGGAGAUUGCCGGUGCCGCCAUUAGGGUUUUGAAGAUCGAAA